UAACUGGUGGAAUAGAAUUAGAAUAGGAAUCAGGAGUCCGGAAGUCUUCGGAAGAGUUCGGAUGAGAGGUGGGCCGCUGAUGGUGACAGCUCAGUACGGAUAUUCCUCCGCACUCCUCAUUGGACCACGUGGCAUCAUGCGUUGUGCUCCAACGGGAGUCUCGGCUGGAGAAUUUGCCAGGUAUCCGCACCCUCCCUCUGCCGUUAGAUGAUAUAUCAACGGUGAAAAAUCAUCUUGUGAUCUAAAUAUAAAAUACAAAUUUUGAGUGUGUUUUUUUACACAAAACAUGUGAUCUUAUCCAGAAGAAUCCGGGCUGCUAUUAUUGGAGAAAAAUCCAACAAAAAAAUCACAAGAAAAAACCUCCUGGAGGGGGUGAUGGCGUGAUCUACCGACCUGCUCUGCCUGGACAUGCGGCGCCCAAUGGAAGAUGAGGGGGGAGGCGAGAAGCGACGCCAGUGGAGGGAGAUGGAUGCCCCCUUGCGCCUCCGCUCGAGCCGGCCAUCUCUCGGCUUCAGGGGAUGUCUCAGAGCUCUGCAGUGGCUGGAUGUGGAGGGUGAGAGAGGGAGGGGGCGAGGCAGAGAGGUGGCUGAGCUGAUGGCCAGUGACGGAUGGAGCAAUCAA
Non-coding RNA from Oryza sativa Japonica Group (Japanese rice), 621 nucleotides. Lineage: Eukaryota; Viridiplantae; Streptophyta; Magnoliopsida; Poales; Poaceae. The record is from RefSeq and is a predicted model, not a curated record.